RNAcentral lists this long non-coding RNA (4769 nucleotides) under Nasonia vitripennis (jewel wasp). RNAcentral's name for it is "uncharacterized LOC107981228". The record is from RNAcentral. Lineage: Eukaryota; Metazoa; Arthropoda; Insecta; Hymenoptera; Pteromalidae.
UCGCAGAUUGCUAAAGUCCGCAAGUCUCGCCUAUUCGUCACUGAACAGCGGAUUUUAGCCACACUGUGCUAUAAAAUAUAUUUAUGCAAGGAAUGUAUUAAGCAGGGAAGGACGUCAGAGGAAUGAAUAAAAGGGCGAUACCUUUUGAGGCAAGCAAAAGCUCGAAGAACUGGAAGUUCGAGUUGGUUGAGUGUGUUGCGGUUGUUGAGUAGAGAGUCAAGAGAUUCGAGUGUGGCGUUGUUCUUGGUGGCAAAGGCUCUGAGGACGAAAUUGAGAGACAGCUUUUUGGGGUGAAGGUGAAGGGGGAGUUCGCAAGCUUCGGCGUAGACGAUGCGGUUGGGUGUGGAGCGGCGGAGUCGUAAUCAGGCUCCUAGGGCUCUGCGUUGAGCAACUUCUAGUUUAUUGCGGAGAGAUUUGUUGCGAGGGAGGAAGACGAAAGAACCGUAGUCAAGAGAACAAAGAACGAAAGCUUUGUAGAUUUGCAUAAGGGAUCGAGGGUGGCCUCCCCACCAGGUACCGCAUAGAGAACGAAUGAGAUUAAUGUGCGGGGUCUCUGAAGAAGAUAAUUGAAGUAUGGGGUCCAGGAGAGUUUGGAGUCGAAAAUGACUCCUAGAAGUUUGACUUGAGGCAAGGAGUUGAUGUUGGUAUCACCGAAAGAGAGGGAAGCGGUAGAAGUGUCUGUAUACUUCUUAGAAAAAAUAAUGAGUUGGGUUUUUUCGGGGGCUAUGGAGACACCAAGAGAAAGAAAGAAAGAAAGUAUGAGGUAAUGCGGUCGAGACUAUUUUGAAGGACAGAGAGACAGAAGUCAAGAUCAGUGGAAGAGACAAAAAGAGCAAUGUCAUCAGCAAAGCAAAGGUAUUUGCAGUUGGGGUCAAUGUGAUUUGGAAGUUUGUGGGUAUGAACGUUGUAGGCGAUGGGGCUGCUGCAGCAGACUUGGGGUAUGCCCUUCAGCGUUUCGAAGGGGCCCUGGAUUUCGCCUACAACGUUAAACCCCGUCAAAACGAUCAACGUUUAUUCAAUGCUGAUUUCAAUAUUGAUUUCAGUCUGAAAUCGGCGUUGAUUCAAUAUUGAAUCAACGUUGAAUCAACAUUGAAUUUGUCCGAAAACGCAACGUUGAUUCAGCGUUAAUUUCAGACUGAAUUCAGUGCUAGAUUUCAAAGUUCAAUCAUGGUUGAAAUAAAAUUGUAAAAAAAAACCGCCAAGACGUGGGCUCGAACCCAAGACUUUUUGAUUAGUAGACGAACGACUUGACCACUAAGACAUUUCGACACUUGCAAUGUAUAUAUUAUAAUGUAACAUACACGGAAACCUAUAGGUGGCAAAUAGUCUCGAAGCUGGGUACCUUCCCGAGAGCACAGAGAGGUCCAGUUGAGGGUCCAGUCCAGUAUUAUUAUAAAAAUCAUGAUAGAGUAGGUUAAUUUUCGGUUAUUCUCUAUAGGAUUCCGUUUAUGUGAAUCCACGUUGCGUUUUCGGACAAAUUCAAUGUUGAUUCAACGUUGAUUCAACGUGGAUUCAAUAUUGAAUGAACGCUGAUUUCAGACUGAAAUCAAUAUUGAAAUCAGCAUUGAAUCAACGUUGAUCGUUUUGACGGAGAAGGAAAUUGAUUUAGAAGAAGUGAUGUUAUAGAAAAAUUGGCAAAUUUGCCAUGGUAGACCGAGGUCUCGGAGAAUGUGGGCGAGGAUACCAGGGUCAACUCCAUCGAAGGCACUUUUGAUGCCAAGAAGAAGAGCUGCAGUGUAUGCGCUGUUAGCGAAGCUGGAAUAAAUAGAACAGGUGAAGAUGCUAAGAUUGCCGGAACAAGAUUUUUGUUACCGGAAACCGAAUUGGUAGCGAGGUAGGAUCUCAUUAUAUCUCUCGAGCCACCAAUUCAGUCUGUGGAGAACGAUCCUUUCAAAGACCUUAAGAAGGGAUUGAGCAAGGGAAAUGGGUCGAAAUUUGCCAGUGUUGCCUUUGGGAAUAAAAAAGACGAGAAACUCAUUCCAAGAAGAGGGAAAUUCACCCUUCAUGAAGAUUUUGUAGAAGAUGGAAAGAAGAUGAUCCAGGAUAUUUUCCGGAAGAUGCGAAAUAAGAAGAUUAUGAAUUUUGUCGAGAGCCGGGGCAGAGUUGGGUUUCUGGAGACAUUUGUCUAUAGCAACGCGAAGUUCGGAGUGUGUGAAGGGUUUACAGAAGAGCUCCAGAGUAAGAGGAGAGGGUGAGAAGUCAGAGGGAAAAUUGGGGUAGAAACAAGAUGGUGGUCAAAUUGUGGGAAUCAAUUCAUUCUGCUUCGUGAUGUUCGCGGUAUUGUUGCGAGCUUCAGAAGCGGCGAGGUUGCGAUGUUUAAGCCUCUUUAAUGAGCUUCAGGAACUGCACGAGUGACUUGCAUAUAUAGUAAUAAAAAAUUGCAAUAAUUGCGGAAUCAUUGGCAAUGUUUGCAAAUUAAAUAAAAAAAUUGUGGGUCCCUUAGUUUUUUAAUGAUAAAUAAAAAACUUUUUUCGUUGCGAGAAACCCAUAAUAUAUGGUUUUCUCAACAGAUACAUAUGCUGGAAUGGUAAAACCAACUUGAUUCGUUUGCAAAUUAAUUGCGGAUUGCAAAUAUAUAACUUUAUUUUCGUAAUUUGCUAUAUUUAUUUAAUUAUAAAUUAAUUUAAUUUUAAAAUUUAAUUUUUCCAAUGUGCAGAUUUUUGCUUCUCGCAUAGCCCGCGUAGGUGGAUCUGGUAUAGCACCGUCUGCUAGGACUCAAAACAAUGAAAAUAAAUAAAUGCAAGUUACUAAAUAUAAGUAUAGAUUCGGAGCAGGAUACUUAAGUUGUCAACGUUUGUUUCGGUGUUUUGCCAGUUCGCCAAUAUUAUUUUCGGACGCAGGAGAAUAUUAUAGAUAACUCAUUCGACAUGGGAGAGCACUCAUUUUAUGAAAAAGAGAGGUACAAUGAUAACUCUAUUCAGCAUCGACUGUUCGAAUCAAGACCAAAGUUCAAGUCUGUGCUGAUGAAGAGGUUGUUAGCUGAUGAGAGUGACGAUGAUAACGAUGAUCCAUACGGUCAAGUUCAAAUCAUUCAAACGAGAAGUUUCAUGAUUUUAAAGGUAAUUUUCAACCGCUUUCUGAGGAAACUGCUGACGAUUCCAAAACCAAACCCAGUUUAGUUGCUAAUAGUUAAAGUAGAUGUUGCAGUCAAGGAUGAAGCCGCUGUUGCUACUGUUAGUGUUACAAGCACUGUUCAAAAGGUUGAGGAAAGAUUCUUUGAGAAUUACAGAGUACAUGUAGUAAAAAAGAGCAAGGAAGAAAAGUUACUGUUGGACAAAGCUUCUGUUGAAUCAAAGCAUACUGCUGGAGCAAGCGUACUUAAGUUUUAAGAUCUAAAAAGUGUCACCAAAGUGAUUUUAGUGCCAAGCCUAAAUAUUCUCCUGACCUGAAGCGUCAUUCUUACAAUUCUGUUGCAAAUCAAGAGAGUCAUGAGCAUCAUCUGCAUCAUAGAGUUUCUUUUUCAAGUCUUGAUAAACAGCAUAGUAACGCAAUCAGUGACGAAAAAGCUACAAUGGCCUCGAUGGCAAACCAAAUGCGUACUACAAAAUCUUCCCAAUUGACAGCGAAUGCACCAAUGGUAGCAAUGGAUAUUCCAAUGGAGCAACCACAAGGAUCUGCUAGAUCAAAUCCUUGCUACUCGCCUAGAAAUACCUUUCAAACUUCUCAAAACAAGAUAGGGAGUGAAUUUGCUAAGAAUUCUAUACACGUCUGCUACUAUAUUUUCAUAUUGAUCACAACAACAACACAUGGCUCCAACCAAUGCAAAGUCAAAUGUCUUCAUCAACAGUAUUGCUCAAUUAUAAAGUUCUAGACAUAAAAUUUUAAGGUAUUUCACUGGAGAAAGUAAAAGUGUUCGCAGAUGACUAGCAGAAACAAUGUAUUCAGACCCAACAAUUUCAAGAGACAGGGGAAAUAUAGUCAAGCGAAAUUUACAUGAAAUUUUUAAAAGCGAAGGUUAUGCAAAAUUGUCAGUAUUUGAAUCAAGUUAAUUCCCAUAUAUAUUGAAUGCAAGCCGAAUAUGCAGUAUCAUAGUAAUGCUUAUAAUAAUAUGUAAGCCGCAAGAACAGCAGAUAAUUAUCAAGUCAAAGAAAGUCAGAGUGCACACCCCCCAAUUACAAGUCAAGCAGAGCAAAUGCAAACGAUUCAGUGCUCAAUUCCUCAACAGCUUAAUCUGUUGCCUUAAUUCAUGGAAUUCAAGACAAAAUUAAAUCAAGUGGCUCUAAUCAUACACGCAGAAAAUCAAUAACGAAGCAGCUGCAAAUAUCCUAUCAGGAAAAUGAAAGUUCUUAAGUAACAAAAUCGAUAUAUCUCUUUGCAUCGUUUGGUUUGGUGCUAGUGAAGCUUCAGCAGCUCCUUGAUUUCAUCCUUCUGGGCAGCAUCUAAGUAGCUUGUGCAAUCUGGGGUCAAGCUGUUUGGUUUUGCUACCUCAGCCAAUUCAAUGAAAAUGUAAUCCAUGAAAAGUUUGAAUUAGCUAAAAAAUAUAACAAGGUCCUUGAAGAUGAAGUAAAGAUGACUCCAGAACAGUUAGCGAUUAAGGGACAUAUGGAAUAGAAAGUAAAAAAUCUCAUGACAACAAAUAUUGUCCAAUGCUUGGGAGUAAUUUAUACCUUAGAAUAACUAUAUAAUUUGACGUGCUAUACAAAUUUACAACAAAAUAUAUAUUUCUAAUACCAGUUUGAAAAUUUUUCUUUUUUUAUUAUAAUCUAUUGAAAGCACCUGAAGAUGUGUAAAAAAAACUUAUAAUGUAUUCAAAAUAUUUUAGGAAUUUU